RNAcentral lists this ribosomal RNA (497 nucleotides) under uncultured bacterium. RNAcentral describes it as "partial 16S ribosomal RNA". It matches the Rfam family "Bacterial small subunit ribosomal RNA", at positions 28 to 507 of the family's 1533-position model. The record is from RNAcentral.
GAUGAACGCUGGCGGCGUGCCUAAUACAUGCAAGUCGAGCGAACAGACGAGGAGCUUGCUCCUCUGACGUUAGCGGCGGACGGGUGAGUAACACGUGGAUAACCUACCUAUAAGACUGGGAUAACUUCGGGAAACCGGAGCUAAUAACGGAUAAUAUAUUGAACCGCAUGGUUCAAUAGUGAAAGACGGUUUUGCUGUCACUUAUAGAUGGAUCCGCGCCGCAUUAGCUAGUUGGUAAGGUAACGGCUUACCAAGGCGACGAUGCGUAGCCGACCUGAGAGGGUGGACGGCCACACUGGAACUGAGACACGGUCGAGACUCCUACGGGAGGCAGCAGUAGGGAAUCUUCCGCGAUGGGCGAAAGCCUGACGGAGCAACGCCGCGUGAGUGAUGAAGGUCUUCGGAUCGGAAAACUCUGUUGUUAGGGAGGAACGAAUGUGUAAGUAACUAUGCACGUCUUGACGGUACCUAGUCAGAAAGCCACGGCUAACUACGUG